GGGCCCGCACAAGCAGUGGAGUAUGUGGUUUAAUUCGAAGCAACGCGAAGAACCUUACCAGGUCUUGACAUCCAACGAAUCCUUCAGAGAUGAGGGAGUGCCUUUCGGGGAACGUUGAGACAGGUGGUGCAUGGUUGUCGUCAGCUCGUGUCGUGAGAUGUUGGGUUAAGUCCCGCAACGAGCGCAACCCUUGUUAAUAGUUGCUACGCAAGAGCACUCUAUUAAGACUGCCGUUGACAAAACGGAGGAAGGUGGGGAUGACGUCAAAUCAUCAUGCCCCUUAUGACCUGGGCUACACACGUACUACAAUGGCCGUCAACAGAGGGAAGCAAGACCGUGAGGUGGAGCAAACCCCUAAAAACGGUCUCAGUUCAGAUUGCAGGCUGAAACCCGCCUGCAUGAAGAUGGAAUUGCUAGUAAUCGCGGAUCAGCAUGCCGCGGUGAAUACGUUCCCGGGCCUU
RNAcentral lists this ribosomal RNA (461 nucleotides) under uncultured bacterium. RNAcentral's name for it is "bacterial SSU rRNA". It matches the Rfam family "Bacterial small subunit ribosomal RNA", at positions 917 to 1382 of the family's 1533-position model. The record is from RNAcentral.